GGCAGCAGUAGGGAAUCUUCCGCAAUGGACGAAAGUCUGACGGAGCGACGCCGCGUGUACGAAGAAGGCCUUCGGGUUGUAAAGUACUGUUGUUGGGGAAGAACGGCUCAAGUGUGAAUAAUGCUUGAGAUUGACGGUACCCAACGAGGAAGCCCCGGCUAACUACGUGCCAGCAGCCGCGGUAACACGUAGGGGGCGAGCGUUGUCCGGAAUUAUUGGGCGUAAAGGGCGCGUAGGCGGCCGUUUAAGUCUGAUGUGAAAGUGCGGGGCUUAACCCCGUAGAGCAUUGGAAACUGGAUGGCUUGAGGACAGGAGAGGAAAGUGGAAUUCCUAGUGUAGCGGUGAAAAGCGUAGAUAUUAGGAGGAACACCAGUGGCGAAGGCGACUUUCUGGACUGUUUCUGACGCUGAGGCGCGAAAGCGUGGGUAGCGAACAGGAUUAGAUACCCUGGUAGUCCACGCCGUAAACGAUGAGUGCUAAGUGU
Molecule: ribosomal RNA, 484 nt
Filed under: uncultured Bacillota bacterium
Lineage: Bacteria; Bacillati; Bacillota
Description: bacterial SSU rRNA
Rfam family: Bacterial small subunit ribosomal RNA
Source: RNAcentral